Molecule: ribosomal RNA, 265 nt
Filed under: uncultured bacterium
Lineage: Bacteria
Description: partial 16S ribosomal RNA
Rfam family: Bacterial small subunit ribosomal RNA
Source: RNAcentral
GAGCACGUAGGUGGGUUUGUAAGUCAGGUGUGAAAGCCUUCUGUUCAACGGAAGAAUUGCAUCUGAAACUGCGAGUCUUGAGUGUAGGAGGGGAGAAUGGAACUUCUGGUGGAGCGGUGAAAUGCGUAGAUAUCAGAAGGAACGCCGGCGGCGAAAGCGAUUCUCUGGCCUAUUACUGACACUCAGUGUGCGAAAGCUAGGGGAGCAAACGGGAUUAGAUACCCCGGUAGUCCUAGCCGUAAACGAUGGGCACUAAGUAGAGGGG